ACCCCCCUCCCGCCCCUGGCCUCCGUGCAAGCGGGUCCCGUUGCUCCCCCGGGGGUGAUACUUUGCCUCGUCGUCGUGGUUUUGCAUCUGCAGAUGAGGGAGCAGCGGCUGGAGUCGACUAAGUCAAUGCUUCCAGUCCUGCAACUGUGUUCUGUCCUGUUUGGGAUGGCUUUAAACGGGUGAUGGCCUCAUGAAUCGUGGGUGCCACUGAUCAGUGGGUGACAAAUGGGACACAUACCCAUCAGGCAAGUCUUUGUUCUCACCCUUCACCUUUGGAUUCCCCUUUUCUUUGGCUUUGGCACCUUUUUUUUCUCCUGGGCAGCCGAAGUGUUUGUACAGGUGAUGCAAACAAGGUGCAAACAGGGCUGGGGUCAUGCACCCUGAACUGCCCUUGUAAACACCAGCAAUCAAGAGUAUUUCUUGAAGAGGCCUUGAAUUACUCAGUUCUCCCCCUCAGCUGGCAGCCCAAAGCGUGGCCAUAGGCAGGGGGCAAGGGAAGGAUGUGGAGUUAGGGGAAAUUUGGCCUUUGGGCCUUAACUCAGAAGUGGAAAGGUAAAGUAAUGUGUAAAAAUGUCUGUUGGUCAGCAAAAUGCUUUGCUUCAAAACUCCUUUGAGCUUUUUCAGAUCUUUCUAAUGAAAAUGGCUGAAUUGUGCAGGCUGUCCUGGAUCCAAACAGUGCACCAUGAAAACACCAGAAUAAAAUGUGUUGAUUUUU
This is a long non-coding RNA of Pezoporus occidentalis (night parrot), 715 nucleotides long. RefSeq lists it as uncharacterized. The record is from RefSeq and is a predicted model, not a curated record. The transcript is spliced from 2 exons. NCBI's taxonomy places the organism in Eukaryota, Metazoa, Chordata, Aves, Psittaciformes, Psittacidae.